AGUGAACGCUGGCGGUAGGCCUAACACAUGCAAGUCGAACGGCAGCGCAGUAAGAGCUUGCUCUUACGGGUGGCGAGUGGCGGACGGGUGAGGAAUACAUCGGAAUCUACUUUUUCGUGGGGGAUAACGUAGGGAAACUUACGCUAAUACCGCAUACGACCUACGGGUGAAGGCAGGGGAUCUUCGGACCUUGCGCGAUUGAAUGAGCCGAUGUCGGAUUAGCUAGUUGGCGGGGUAAAGGCCCACCAAGGCGACGAUCCGUAGCUGGUCUGAGAGGAUGAUCAGCCACACUGGAACUGAGACACGGUCCAGACUCCUACGGGAGGCAGCAGUGGGGAAUAUUGGACAAUGGGCGCAAGCCUGAUCCAGCCAUACCGCGUGGGUGAAGAAGGCCUUCGGGUUGUAAAGCCCUUUUGUUGGGAAAGAAAAGCAGCAGGUUAAUACCCCGCUGUUCUGACGGUACCCAAAGAAUAAGCACCGGCUAACUUCGUG
This 492-nucleotide ribosomal RNA is filed under the name uncultured bacterium. RNAcentral's name for it is "partial 16S ribosomal RNA". It matches the Rfam family "Bacterial small subunit ribosomal RNA", at positions 29 to 507 of the family's 1533-position model. The record is from RNAcentral.